Non-coding RNA from Anas platyrhynchos (mallard), 1738 nucleotides. Lineage: Eukaryota; Metazoa; Chordata; Aves; Anseriformes; Anatidae. The record is from RefSeq and is a predicted model, not a curated record.
AUGCCAUCCAGAAGGAUUGCAUCUGCCCAGCUUUCACUGAAUACUGAUCAAAGAGGACAUAGUGUCUGUUAACCAGGGAAAUAGUCUUGAAAAGAAAGAAAUUCAGAUGUUGUGUUUGUGGAGUAGAAGGCUCAGAAGAUAAUGAGUUAGGAACAAGCAAACAUCCUCCUUUGCUGGGGCCACUGGUCUCGCAAGUCAGCCCUGCUGCAUCCUCCUGGUCCUGCUGCCUGCCCAGGGUCGGGGUGUGAUGGGGCAUGGAUCAGUUGUGUGUGAGCUGCAGCCAACGGCCCCCGUAUGGCACUCAGCAUCUCCCAUGGGCAUCUAGAUCACAAAGCUGUUUCCUCCCUGUGCACACAGUACAGAAAAGAAGCAAUGCUGGGAAUUACUUUUUCAAAUGUAAAAUACCAGGGAAUCCUUCUCCUCGACAGCAGUUUGGCCAUGAUGAUGAUCUCGGAAGAAUAUAGUGGCUGAUGUCUUUUCACUAAGGAUUAGCCCGAGCUUCAAUGUAGCCGUCAAGCUGCAACCUUUGCAGGGCUUAGAACUGUUAUUUCCAGAAGUUCCUCUGCAGCUUUGGCACCCUGAAACAACCAACCAAAAAUGGUUUUUGCAAGUACAUUUCUCAAAGGCAAGAGCAGCAAACUCCUUGCUCCCUGCUGAGAGAUGCUGUGGCUGCCACCCAGGACUGAAGCUGAGAUGUGCUGUGCAGGCAGCUCAGAUGGCCAACAUACCUGGUUUGGUAGAGAAACAGAGGGCUUAAGAAGGGAAAAGGGUAUCGGAGCUGUCACUGAAACCUGCAUUUUGAGGCCUUCAGCAUCGCAGAGGCAUCUUGUCCUUCAACCUGGAUGCAGAAAGAAUCAUGGAGCAACUUCCUCAUGUUGAGGGGACAGAUUUUAGAUUGAGUUCUGUUGUAAUAAGCUUGGCAACGCCUCGACAAGUUUGCAGGGCUAUCUAUAAGCUUCUGUCCUAAUCUGGGACCAUCACUAAAGCCCCACUGCACUGUGCAUUUUGGAUGUGGACCCAAUGAAAGACUCAGACCUUUCUUCAGUGAGGAAGAGCAUCCCUGGAGGACCAGCGAUGGACACUGCUGUCGUGCUCUUGCAUUCAAAGUGUUCUGUGUAAAGCUCAGUGUUUUCCAUGGCAAGAAAGAUUUUAAUGCUUAAAGAAGCAUAAACUGGUACAGAAAGGCACUUAACACUACUUUGGGCAUGUCUCCAGUGUUUUGUGACAGCUCCUGAGUGCUGUGCAGUAAGCAUGGGAAUACUGCAAAGCUCACAGCAGGGAGGUGGUUAGCUGGGUUCCUCCAAGUCUUCAGGUGUGCAGAAACAUUACUCAUCCCAGAGCUCUCUGGCGGUAGAAAUAUUGAAUCCUGUUAGGAGUGUGAGUAAUAGUUUUGCAUGAAAUUAAAUCUACUUCUCAAAUCAGUCAGGUUCACUUUUUUUCUUUUUAGAAUGCAGUAGCUCCUGCAGACACAAAGCUAAAUGAAUGAGAAAAUUCUUUACGAAAACAGUAAGAUGGAGCCUACUCCUCCUGGGGUCUGCUAUGGACUUCAUGGGAGAUUGAAGAAAAAGGAUUUGUUCUUCUUUGCAGAAGUUCCUUAUGUGCAAAAAUAUGUGCUGCUUAUUUAAAUGCUGUGUGAACAGGGUACAACUUUGGUUUUUGGCUUUUAGGGAAUGGCCGCAAUGCAAAUAUGGAAUCAGAAAGAGACACUUGUGGGCUAAAGUAAAUUAGUAUGGCCACA